Molecule: ribosomal RNA, 852 nt
Filed under: uncultured bacterium
Lineage: Bacteria
Description: bacterial SSU rRNA
Rfam family: Bacterial small subunit ribosomal RNA
Source: RNAcentral
GGCGUGCCUAACACAUGCAAGUCGAACGGUAACAGGUCUUCGGAUGCUGACGAGUGGCGCACGGGUGAGUAACGCGUGGAUAUCUGCCUAUUAGUGGGGGACAACUUUCGGAAACGGAAGCUAAUACCGCAUAAUCUCUACGGAGGAAAGCAGGGGACCUUUCGGGGCCUUGUGCUGAUAGAUGAGUCCGCGUCUGAUUAGCUAGUUGGUAGGGUAAAGGCCUACCAAGGCGAUGAUCAGUAUCUGGUUUGAGAGGAUGAUCAGACACACUGGAACUGAGACACGGUCCAGACUUCUACGGAAGGCAGCAGUGGGGAAUAUUGCACAAUGGGGGAAACCCUGAUGCAGCGACGCCGCGUGUCGGAAGAAGGCUUUAGGGUUGUAAACCACUUUCAAUUGGGAAGAAGAGAUGAGUACUAAUAUUAUUCUGAUUUGACGGUACCUUUAGAAGAAGCACCGGCUAAUUUCGUGCCAGCAGCCGCGGUAAUACGAAAGGUGCAAGCGUUGUUCGGAUUUACUGGGCGUAAAGCGAGUGUAGGUUGUUUAUUAAGUCGGAUGUGAAAUCCCAGGGCUCAACCCUGGAACUGCAUUCGAUACUGAUAGGCUAGAGUUCGGGAGGGGUAAGCGGAAUUCCGUGUGUAGCAGUGAAAUGCGUAGAUAUACGGAGGAACACCUGAGGCGAAGGCGGCUUACUGGACCGAUACUGACACUGAGACUCGAAAGCGUGGGUAGCAAACAGGAUUAGAUACCCUGGUAGUCCACGCCCUAAACGAUGUCAACUAGCCGUUGCGGGUAUCGACCCCUGCAGUGGCGAAGCUAACGCGAUAAGUUGACCGCCUGGGGAGUACGGUC